UGCGUAGGCGGUUUGGUAAGUCUUGUGUGAAAUCUCCAGGCUCAACUUGGAGUCUGCACGAGAAACUGCCGGGCUUGAGUGUGGGAGAGGUGAGUGGAAUUCCUGGUGUAGCGGUGAAAUGCGUAGAUAUCAGGAGGAACACCUGUGGCGAAAGCGGCUCACUGGACCACAACUGACGCUGAUGCACGAAAGCUUGGGGAGCAAACAGGAUUAGAUACCCUGGUAGUCCUAGCCCUAAACGAUGACUGCUUGGUGUGACGGGUACCCAAUCCCGCCGUGCCGUAGCUAACGCGUUAAGCAGUCCGCCUGGGGAGUACGGUCGCAAGGCUGAA
RNAcentral lists this ribosomal RNA (332 nucleotides) under uncultured bacterium. Its description in RNAcentral is "bacterial SSU rRNA". It matches the Rfam family "Bacterial small subunit ribosomal RNA", at positions 568 to 898 of the family's 1533-position model. The record is from RNAcentral.